Colossoma macropomum (tambaqui) is the source of this 435-nucleotide non-coding RNA. The record is from the annotation of a RefSeq genome assembly. NCBI's taxonomy places the organism in Eukaryota, Metazoa, Chordata, Actinopteri, Characiformes, Serrasalmidae.
AUGUUCUCCACAUCUCUACUGCUGCCGCUGCUGCUGCUGGCUGCUGUGAGCUGUGUUCACAGUGUUGAGCUGACCCAGCCUGGAUCCAUGGUCAUUAAUCCUGGUCAGUCGAUGUCACUGACCUGUAAAGUUUCUGGAUAUUCUCUGACUGAUGACAGCUACUGUACAGACUGGAUACGUCACCCUGCAGGAAAAGCUCUGGAGUGGAUUGGAGCGAUAUGUGGUAGUGCUAGCACUGACUACAGUGAUAAACUGAAAAGCAGGUUUGAAGUUUCCAGAGACACGUCCAGCAGCACAGUGACCUUAAGAGGGCAUAAUCUGCAGACUGGAGACACAGCUGUGUAUUACUGCGCUCGUGAAGACCACAGUGAGACACAUCAACAGGAACCCUGUACAAAAACCUCUGCUUUGCACCUGCCUUUCGAGCUACACUGA